Molecule: long non-coding RNA, 3138 nt
Organism: Gopherus evgoodei (Goodes thornscrub tortoise)
Lineage: Eukaryota; Metazoa; Chordata; Testudines; Testudinidae
Exons: 2
Source: RefSeq, a predicted model, not a curated record
AGCCAUGGCCAUGUUGCAGGUCUUUUAUUCCUGUGUAGACAUACCUCAAAUGCCUUCCAAUAGUAUAACAAAUUACAUGACUAAUAUCUGUAACAUGUAGUUUCCAGUUCUUUGGAAAAAUAUCAAUUUAGAAUUCUCUACUGCACUUAUUUUUGGUUUUAUAAUCAAAACAAUUCUGUAAUAUUUUCAUUUUUCUCAAAAUUCAAUUUUGAGAACUUAAGUUUCCUAAUUUUUACACUGAUUUAUAGAGUUUUGAAUAGUCAUUUCUCAGAACCGAGUUACCUGUGAAGUUUAUUGCCCUAUUUCAUGCCCAACCACAAUUGCAUAAAGCCGGGCCCUGUGUUUCCUCAGUUAAUCUGUCCCUGUCUAGUAAUAAUUUUCAUUGUCUUUGCUGGCUUCAAUCAGCAGCUGUAUUGAAUUAAUUCACUGUAUCCAUGUGAGAAAUAUUCUUAUCAUGAUUUUAACGAUGGGGAAAUUGAAGCACCAAGGGAGUGAUUUGCCUGAGGUCAGACAAGUCUUUGCCAGAACCAGGAGUACAACUCAGCUGUUAGUUGCCAUUCCUAGGCUUUAGCCAUUAAGCUACACUACUUCCAUUUUUCCUACCAGAAGCAUGUUGUUUUUUAAAUUAUUUUGAUGUCACAAACAAAGUUACGGUUGCUACUUAUUACAAAGUUGCAAGGACUCUGAGGAAGCACAAAUUCUGUUUCUCUGUGUAUGUACUUUCUUUAAUAACAUGACUUAAAAUGUCUUGUAAACCAUAUUCUAGUGUGGUAUCUGGUAUACUUAUUAAUUAAAAAAAAUAGUAAAGGUAAAGAGAGAAUAUUUUCCUUUACUUUUCCCAAGCCUGUCCUUUGAGCAACUUGUUUCCUCUGAUUUUUUGUUGGUAGAAAUGUGUCUGCUUCUUGUUGACAUGAUUUCAGCUUUUUCAACUACAGUGAAACUUGUUACAAACUGGCACUAACGGCAUUGCUGUUUGUAUUAGCAAGACCCCACUGAAGGUGUGGUGUUCUGCUCUGGCAUCAGCUCCAUCAUCAUUAGCAUUAAAAGUUUUGUUAGCCAAAUUAUCCCCAUAAUUUGAUAGCCCUGAUCUGUCUAGUGGAUUUGUAAAAGAGCAGCCCCAUCUUAGCCCACAUCUACACAAUGGACCUUACAGCGGCACUUCUGUACUGCUGCAGUUGUGCCACUGUAAGGUCUCCUGUGUAGCCACUCUAUGCAGGUGGGAGAGAGCUCUCCUGCCAGAAUAAUUAAACCAUCCCCAACAAGUGGCAGUAGCUAUGUUUCCAUUUUUGUAAGUGAAACUUGGGCAGGGGGCUGUUUUUUUUUUUAAACACCCCUGACCAACCCAAGUUUUGCUGACAAGAGCUUGUGUUGACAAAGCUGUAGUGAAUUAACUUAUUGAUGCACAAGUUAUGCUGGUUCUGCAAAGCUGAGCCAAACCAAAGUAAAAUCAGUAAAAUAAUGGCAUUGUUCUAAGUGCCCCUGAUUUUAUCAUGAGUCUUGCAGGGUUUGGGGUUUGUUUUUAAGUGCUUUCCUUAAACUGCUUUAAUAAAAAAAAAAGGGUUCUGACCCUCACGUUUAUGCAGCAAAACUAGAACAUGUGCUGUGACUAUCCUAAAAGCCAGAAGAUCUAAUAUCCCUAUUGAUUGUUUUUUAUACAAGUCUUCUGAUUUAUUAGGGCCAGAACCUACAACCCCACACCCACACUUUCACAACUACAGAUCCCAGAAGCCUAUGCGGGCAGAGACCUGCGCCGCAACGGGGGCCCUGCCCAGUGUUUUCCCGCGGAUUUUACGUAAUCCCGGAUCUAGGCGCGGGAACUCUGGGAAGGACUCUCCGUCUCCUGACCGCAGCCUGCGGGAGCUGGGUCCAGGGCGGCUCCUUUCGGCGAGUCCCGAGGGGCGUGAGGCGGGCUCUGCGGAGGGUGGCGCAGGGUCUGCCUCGGCAUAGAAUGCUCCCGCCGGCCGGCGCCAUCUUUGCUGGUUGGGGGUAAGAGGGGAUCGUGUUCCCGAAAGGCAGCAGCGCCCCGUCCCUCAUUCAAGAUGGCGACGGCGGGGUGAUUGACAUGCCUAGUCACGUGGGCACUAGCGGGAUGGGUCGGGUGCACCAUGGCCCUGGCUGAGGUAGUAGUUUGUGCUGUUGGUCGGGUUGUGACAUUGCCCGCUGUGGAGAUAACUGCGCAAGCUACUGCCUUGCUAGUGCUGGUGAUGAUCGGCUGCAGAUGAAGACAAUGACAGUGGGAAUCCCCUUUGUUUUCCCGGGAUUGCAUGCUGAUGGGGUGGCAAACAAUUCUUCCCCCUCCUCCUCCUGCAGAAAUUGAGCCUUUCCUUGGCUACUGAAAUGUGAGUGAUUCCUUUUUACACCAGUGAGAUAGAUAUUGCUCUGUUGGUGCAGCUGGAUGGAAGACCAUUAGUUUGCGGCUUUUUUUACACUAUCUUAUGGAAUUUUGGCUGAAGAGCCAGUACAGUAUCUGCUUCUUUUAAUGCUUAAGGUUAUUUUUGCCAGCCACCUUUUGAAGGGGAUGGCUCUAAUGUAUUCUGAAGACAUACAAGUUAAUGACUGACUGGUAUUGUUUCUGUGUAUUUUGAAUAUAUGUUGCUUGAAAUGUUGUAUUUGUAUUUAAAAUCACAAGUAUAUAUUUAUACUGAAAAACUAUGGAUAUUGUCUGGGACAAGCUAAUAUGUAUGAAGAGCAUUUCAUUGCUUAUUGGGAAGACAGUAUUUGUACAAUACAAGCUAAUUAAUUUUAUUUUGCUUAACGUUUACAGAUUUCUUCUUCUGAAUCUUUAAAAUGUCUGGGGUACAUUUUGAUUAUUUCACAGUAAAGCAAAUUAACCUAAGAAGUAUGGAUGGCAUAAAUUCAUAUUGCUCACAUUUUUUAUCAGAGUGCUGAUUGAGAGAUACUUUUUGUGAAUUUUAAUAUGUUGACCACGCUUAAUGGUGUGAAUCUAAAAUGUAUUAAUAUGCUUACAAUAAACAUAACUUUGUCUUGUAUUGAGAAUUUAGUUCUUCAAUUAUAUGUCCUAUAACACUGAAUUUACAUUAUUUCUGCAUGUUUGCUAUUCUAAUUUCAUUUGAUACAUCAGAAAAAAUUGUCAAAGCUAUGACUAAUUUUUUUAAAUAAAGCUAAUGCCUUAGCACU